This 179-nucleotide ribosomal RNA is filed under the name Vibrio cholerae. RNAcentral's name for it is "partial 16S ribosomal RNA". It matches the Rfam family "Bacterial small subunit ribosomal RNA", at positions 1 to 171 of the family's 1533-position model. Lineage: Bacteria; Pseudomonadati; Pseudomonadota; Gammaproteobacteria; Vibrionales; Vibrionaceae. The record is from RNAcentral.
UUAAUUGAAGAGUUUGAUCAUGGCUCAGAUUGAACGCUGGCGGCAGGCCUAACACAUGCAAGUCGAGCGGCAGCACAGAGGAACUUGUUCCUUGGGUGGCGAGCGGCGGACGGGUGAGUAAUGCCUGGGAAAUUGCCCGGUAGAGGGGGGAUAACCAUUGGAAACGAUGGCUAAUACCG